AUUGAACGCUGGCGGCAUGCUUUACACAUGCAAGUCGAACGGUAACAGGUUAAGCUGACGAGUGGCGAACGGGUGAGUAAUGCAUCGGAACGUGCCCGGUCGUGGGGGAUAACGCAGCGAAAGCUGCGCUAAUACCGCAUACGAUCUGAGGAUGAAAGCGGGGGACCGUAAGGCCUCGCGCGAUCGGAGCGGCCGAUGUCAGAUUAGGUAGUUGGUGGGGUAAAGGCUCACCAAGCCAACGAUCUGUAGCUGGUCGGAGAGGACGACCAGCCACACUGGGACUGGGAGACGGCCCAGACUCCUACGGGAGGCAGCAGUGGGGAAUUUUGGACAAUGGGCGAAAGCCUGAUCCAGCAAUGCGGCGUGCAGGAAGAAGGCCUUCGGGUUGUAAACUGCUUUUGUACGGAGCGAAAAGGUCUCCUCUAAUACAGGGGGCUCAUGACGGUACCGUAAGAAUAAGCACCGGCUAACUACGUGCCAGCAGCCGCAGUAA
RNAcentral lists this ribosomal RNA (493 nucleotides) under uncultured bacterium. Its description in RNAcentral is "partial 16S ribosomal RNA". It matches the Rfam family "Bacterial small subunit ribosomal RNA", at positions 29 to 523 of the family's 1533-position model. The record is from RNAcentral.